RNAcentral lists this long non-coding RNA (439 nucleotides) under Dermacentor andersoni. Its description in RNAcentral is "uncharacterized LOC126545834". The record is from RNAcentral. Lineage: Eukaryota; Metazoa; Arthropoda; Arachnida; Ixodida; Ixodidae.
GACACGGCGCGAAUCCUUCAACUGGUUGAGCCGCCACGUGUCGCGCUACACGAGCUGUCGCUGAGUAACAGCGGAAUCCUCUUUUGCUCCCCCAUUUUUAUUUCCUCUUGACGUUUCGCCCGCUAUACAUUAUUCGUAAGCUUCGACUCUUCGAGUGUUUGUCCGCUUCAACGCUGAUUGUCUAUAACCCGCUCGGCGGAGGCACCAGGCGUCAUGCAGUAUGUUCGCUCUCAGCGAGCCAAGAACAAGCUGUACAACGACAAAAAGGAUUCAGGAGUUGACUGGCUGGACUGAGGGGACAAGACAAGGACUUCAAGAAUACCUGGGCGAGGAACACCAAGGUCUCCGAUUUCGUGCUGAAAGAUGGAAAAUGCACAUGCAAAGCAUGACAGGGUGGACGCUGCAAACAUAUUGCUGCUGUGGUGCCUGGAGAGCUUCU